Molecule: long non-coding RNA, 27885 nt
Filed under: Panax ginseng (ginseng)
Lineage: Eukaryota; Viridiplantae; Streptophyta; Magnoliopsida; Apiales; Araliaceae
Description: long non-coding RNA (PGIN_LNC001248)
Source: RNAcentral
GCAUUUGAGGGUAAGAUUUUGUGGAGUGUGCUAUAAAUGGUUUGAAAGUAUCAGGUACGGAUUCCGUACUCUUUCAGCGAUACCUUUGUUAAAUUUGAUUUGUUCGUUUGUUUCCUUAUUUCGAAUUCUAUUAUGAUUUCACAUAAUUGUUUCUUGUGAAAUAAAUAUAUUAGUUUCAUUUUAGAGUUGAUACGUAUGACUCGUAUUUGUACUCUUUGAAUUAGGUUAUCAUGUUUAGUAUUAUUUAUUUUGAUAAUUGUAGAGCGGUACAUGUUGCUACCUUCCUUUUGAAACCUUGUGACUAUAAUUUGAUUCGGUUCAACAUGUACAUAUAGAACCCUUUUGUUGGUAUUAUGUCGCAUGUGUUGUGACAUGGUAUUUUUGUUAGAAUAUACCGUAGGGUAUACUUGAGCUAUAACCACCUGUGGGGGUACCACAGGCAUGUCGUCUUGGCACGAGAGACAUGACACUUUCCGUGGCGGUGUGAUUAGUCCACGACUUCUCCAUUUUGGGAUCUGGAGUAAAUGGGCCAUUUGGUGUUUUGUUGUGGGAGGCGUAUGGGUUAACCCUAGUUUUCUGUUUUGCGGAUUGGUGAUGUUGUGCCAAACACACCUAUCCGAUUUGCAUACAUUUGGAUUCGCGGUCCAAUGUGUGAUUUGUCUGUGUGGCAUUCUUUUGGUUGCCUGUGUGGUAUUAUAUAUUCUGACUUGCCUGUGUGGCAUUGUUUUGAUGUUCCUGUGUGGCAUUAUUUUGGUUGCCUAUGUGGCAUCAUUUGAUUUGCCUGUGUGGUAUUAUUUUGACUUGCCUGUGUGGUAAGGUAUAUUAUGAGCUCAUUCGGUAUGAAAUAACUCCAGCCAUUUAUUUCAGCCUAUUAUUUUAUUGGAUUAGUUUUGUUGGUUUCUGUUCAGUUCAAGUCAUUGAGUUAGUUACUUCAGUUCAUUAUUUCUUUAUUCUUUUAUUGGUUUCGUCAAUUACGUUGAUUCAGAUAUAUUCCAUUCAGAUCUUUGGAUAUUAUCUUUUCGUUCGUAUUUGCACUUGAGACUUUGUUCAGUAUUUUGUCUCAGUUGUUUUCGUAUAUCAGUUGUAUAUCUGUAUCCGUACUGGGCAAUUGGCUCAUGCUGUGUUUUUCUUCCGGCAGGUUUGCAGGGGUGAUUCAGGGCUAGUAUGAUGAGAGUUUUGCCUUUGACCAUUUAGGUUGACUCGAAUUUUAAGUUUUGAUUAUUUUGACUUAGUUUGGAGAAUUGUACUUAUUACUUUACUAAUGGAUCACCACUAUUAAUAUUUUGAAGUUGUUAGUGCUCUGUUUAUUUAAUUUGAGGUUUGUUGUGCUUUGCACGUGACCUCCCUUUCCUUUUCGGGAAGGGGGUGUUACAGAGAUGGUAUCAAAGCUUAGGUUCUUUCUUGUAGAAAACCUAUUUAGGUUUGACCUGUGAGUUGUGGGUAAAUCACUGGGUAGACGUAGGAGUUCGACUUGAUUUUAUUCUCUGUUUGGUUGGUCUUUAUUUUGACGACGUGUCCCCCACUUUUCGAGUUGUAGUUGAUUUGAGAAAGAUGAGAUAAUUUGUUAAGAUUAUCAUUGUUAUACAUUGGAGCAAUAAUAUAAGUUAAGGAUUGUGAUUGGAUAUCAUUAAGGAGAAUAAAUAUGUGAUUGUGGUUGGAUAUUUUGUACAGUUAAGAAAUGAUUAUAUGAUUAUGAUGUGAGUAUUUGUAUAAGUGAGUUUUUAAUUUUGGAAAAUUAUUUGUUAGAGUUGUUUUUGGUGACAAUUUAUUAUGAUCUUAGAAUUGAGAAUUUGAUUUUGAUGUUGAUUUUGUUUAUGUUAAGCUUGUGGAUAAUUUGAGGUUUGUGUAUUAUUGACAUAUUAUGAUAAAGUGAAAAUUAUUAAGUAUAGAUGAUUUCUUGUAAUUUGAGUUGUUGAUAUUCGAGGUAAUUAGAUUAAUCAUUUGGAGAUAAUGAUCAAUUUUGUGACUAUUUCUAGUAGGAUAUUGGAGUUAUGUUCUAUGAAGUUUAUUUGUGAUAAUAUGGGGAGACAUUGAAAUUUAUGGGAUUAAGGUUUGCAAUAAGGGAUGAUUGAUUUAUUAUAUGAUUAGAUAGUAAGUGAUGAAAUUCAAUUGAUUCUGAGAGAUUUUGAAUAGUUAUAGUUUGCUUAUUAAGAUAGUAUGUAGGAUAUGUGACUUGGAGUUUGAUAUGGUGAUAAAGAGAUCUUAGUAGUAUAUUUUUGGUAUUAUAAUAUUUGAGAGCUAAUUUGAUUUGAGGUUAUGAUAUUUUGAAACUCUUGAGGACUUAGUGAGAGUUGGUAAUAUAGUUUGUAUAGUUGUUUUGUUUGUCUGAUGUCAUUAGAGUUUUGUAUGAAUUUAUGUAAAAAAAAUGUUAGAUCUUUGUCAUGUGUGGAACAUAAACGUUUUAUGAAUUAAAAUUUAUUUUAAAUAUUUUGGGUAUUCGAAUCAUAUUUAGAUGAAGAGAAAUUUUUGUGAUUUCGAAUUAUGUUUUGAAGAGUAUGUACGUUUGCAAGAAUGAAACUCAAUGAUAUUAACGGGGGUCGCGCCAGCUGUGGAGUAUGUGGUUUAAUUCAAUGCAAAACGAAGAACCUUACCAAGGCUUGACACGGUAGCUGACGAAUCUUUUACAAGUACAUAAAUAAUUACGUGGACCGAUGGACUUACCAGCGUUGGUUGUUACAAAAGGUGAUGUUGCGUCGGUUGUUAGCUUAUUUGAAUUCCGAGGACGGAAUUAUUUUUAAGGGGUGAAAAUGUAAUAACCGAUAUUUUUUUGAUUUUAUGUUAUAAAAUUGUGUUUAAAUUGGAAAAGGUAAAUGAUUUUGUUUCCCUCUUUUCUUCCUUGUUUUGUUUGGAAAAUUAAAUUAUUUUUGUAGAUAAUUAAAAAACUGAUUAAAUGGAAAUUGAGGAAGAUAAUUCCUUUUGUUAAAGUCUUAUGGUAAAAUCAUUCGGAGUGGGAAGCUACUUGGGAAAUAGAGGAGUCUAUUCGAGCGGAGUAUUCGCAUCUUUUGAUAAUUUGGUACGUUCAUUCAUUUGAUUCCGGGGACGGAAUCCUUUUUAAGGGGUAGAUGAUGUAAUACUCGGUAAAAUAAUAAUAAUAAUAAUAAUAAUAAUAAAUAAAUAAAUAAAUAAUAUUUAAAUCCAUAUUUUAAUUGGGUUUUUCUUAUGUUUGGGUCAAAUUGUAUUUAAUUUGCGUGACUUAUAAUAAGUAGGUGAUUACAUUAAUUUGGGCUUUUAUACUAAUUGGGUCUAUUUUGUAUUUGGGUAAUAUUAAAAUCCUAUUAAAAUUAGGAGACACAAUGAGAUAUAUUAAUUAAUAAAUAAGCAAAUCCUAAUUGCUUCAUCAUAUUUUCUACCGACUGAGUAAAAGAAAAAGAGCGUAGCCACGGUUAAACAAUAGAGAGGAGAGAGGAGAGAGGAGACUAUUCUGUGAGCAUCAAAGAAGCACAACCAUCUCGUUUAAUUCGGGUAAGUUCUACUUAUUAUACAUGUGAAUAGUAUAUAGAGGAGAAUAAUUGCUAUGUUUCUUUUGGCUGAUAUGGAAUAAUUGCUGAGUUUCAUAAUGAUGUAAGUACCAUGAUCAUCAUCCAUCAUCAUUAAGUCAAAGUUGCUAAAAAGAUAGAGUGCAUGUGGAUCCGUAUGAUUUUAAUGUAUAUUAUAAUUUAAUUUGAACUAUAGUUAUAUAUAUAUAUAUAUAUAUAUAUAUAUAUAUAUAUAUUCAACCUGUUUAAAAAAAAANNNNNNNNNNNNNNNNNNNNNNNNNNNNNNNNNNNNNNNNNNNNNNNNNNNNNNNNNNNNNNNNNNNNNNNNNNNNNNNNNNNNNNNNNNNNNNNNNNNNNNNNNNNNNNNNNNNNNNNNNNNNNNNNNNNNNNNNNNNNNNNNNNNNNNNNNNNNNNNNNNNNNNNNNNNNNNNNNNNNNNNNNNNNNNNNNNNNNNNNNNNNNNNNNNNNNNNNNNNNNNNNNNNNNNNNNNNNNNNNNNNNNNNNNNNNNNNNNNNNNNNNNNNNNNNNNNNNNNNNNNNNNNNNNNNNNNNNNNNNNNNNNNNNNNNNNNNNNNNNNNNNNNNNNNNNNNNNNNNNNNNNNNNNNNNNNNNNNNNNNNNNNNNNNNNNNNNNNNNNNNNNNNNNNNNNNNNNNNNNNNNNNNNNNNNNNNNNNNNNNNNNNAAGGCAUAUUAAAUAGAUUAUGAAUUAUUUUGGAAUUAUUGAAUUGGAUUAUUUAAUAUUUGAGGUGAAUAUGUUUAGGUGAUGAAUAACGUUUCGUAUUUGAUAUCGUUGACAUUUGAGGGUAAGAUUUUGUGGAGUGUGCUAUAAAUGGUUUGGAAGUAUCAGGUACGGAUUCCGUACUCUUUCAGCGAUACCUUUGUUAAAUUUGAUUUGUUCGUUUGUUUCCUUAUUUCGAAUUCUAUUAUGAUUUCACAUAAUUGUUUCUUGUGAAAUAAAUAUAUUAGUUUCAUUUUAGAGUUGAUACGUAUGACUCGUAUUUGUACUCUUUGAAUUAGGUUAUCAUGUUUAGUAUUAUUUAUUUUGAUAAUUGUAGAGCGGUACAUGUUGCUACCUUCUUUUUGAGACCUUGUGACUAUAAUUUGAUUUGGUUCAACAUGUACAUAUAGAACCCUUUUGUUGGUAUUAUGUCGCAUGUGUUGUGACGUGGUAUUUUUGUUAGAAUAUACCAUAGGGUAUACUUGAGCUAUAACCACCUGUGGGGGUACCAAAGGCAUGUCGUCUUGGCACGAGAGACAUGACACUUUCGGUGGCGGUGUGAUUAGUCCACGACGUCUCAAUUAUCGGCUCCGGAUUAAAUGGGCCAUUUGGUGUUUUGUUGUGGGAGGCGUAUGGGUUAACCCUAGUUUUCUGUUUUGCGGAUUGGUGAUGUUGUGCCAAACACACCUAUCCGAUUUUUAUACAUUUGGAUUCGCGGUCCAAUGUGUGAUUUGCCUGUAUGGCAUUAUUUUGGUUGCCUGUGUGGCAUUAUAUAUUUUGACUUGCCUGUGUGGCAUUGUUUUGAUGUGCCUGUGUGGCAUCAUUUGAUUUGCCUGUGUGGCAUUAUUUUGACAUGCCUGUGUGGAAAGGUAUAUUCUGAGCUCAUUCGGUAUGAAAUAACUCCAGCCAUUUAUUUCAGCCUAUUAUUUUAUUGGAUUAGUUUUGUUGGUUUCUGUUCAAUUCAAGUCAUUGAGUUAGUUACUUCAGUUUGUUAUUUCUUUAUUCUUUUAUUGGUUUCGUCAAUUAUGUUGAUUCAGAUAUAUUCCAUUCAGAUCUUUGGAUAUUAUAUUUUCAUUCGUAUUUGCACUUGAGGCUUUGUUCAGUAUUUUAUCUUAGUUGUUUUCGUAUAUCAGUUGUAUAUCUUUUGUAUAUCUGUAUCCGUACUGGGCAAUUGGCUCAUGCUGUGUUUUUCUUCCGACAGGUUUGCAGGGGUGAUUCAGGGCUAGUGCGAUGAGAGUUUUGCCUUUGACCAUUUAGGUUGACUCGAAUUUUAAGUUUUGAUUAUUUUGACUCAGUUUGGAGAAUUGUACUUAUUACUUUAUUAAUGGAUUACCACUAUUAAUAUUUUGGGGUUGUUAGUGCUCUGUUUAUUUAAUUUGAGGUUUGUUGUGCUUUGCACGUGACCUCCCUUUCCUUUUCAGGAAGGGGGUGUUACAAUAAUCAUAACAGAUGACGCAUAUAAAACACAAUUAAACUGCAGGUGCUACUUAGGUGCACACAUAAGAAUGAUCAAGGUUACUAAGCACUUAAACAAGGCUUACAAUUUCACCAAAACCAAGCUAUGUUAAUUAAAUUGAAAUUAUUUAAAUAUGGAAGGGUAUUAAUAAAAUUGAAAUUAUUAAUACCCUUCCAUAUUUAAAUAAUUUCUCCCCAUCUUAAUUUUGUCGAAUUAACUAUUUUAGCAUAUAUAAAAGCUAAAAAAAAUUAUUGACUUUUCAUAACAUACAUUGUAUAAAACCUUUAUGACACAGGUAUGUUAUUUCCAAAGGAAACAAUGGCGGAAACUUAUAAUCGUAUCCAAUAGGGCAAGAAGUAUCUAAUUGAGCCGUAAAAAACAACAUAUAAAAAAACACUCACAAUCCAGCCUCAAAACAUCAUUUCAGCAUAUCAUAUCAGCACAUCAAAACACUCCCAAUAUGUCAAUGUGGCAUGUAUAUAAAAUAAAUUACAUACUACCAAUAAGGUAGAAUACCCAAACUCGAAGAAUAAUACAGUGGGGAAAAAGUUCCAUCAAUAGAAUAACACCCAAUAUAUAUCCAAUUCAGAAAUAAAGAGAAUUAGGGUUACCUGUGGCGGCAGCGAUGGCAGUGGACAGUGGCAGCGAUCGGCGGCGGUCAAUUUCUCCCUCCCUUUUCUCUUCUCCCCCUUCUCCCUCUUCUCCCUAUUAUGUUCUCCAUCAUUUUCUUCUCUUGUCUGCUGAACUACGAAUGCCUGAGUCUAAUUAUGUUUUAGACGAUCAGCGACCGCAUGCGGUCGCUGAUUUUUAAUGACGUAGACGAUUCAGCAAUCGAUGUGCAGUCGCUGAUAUAUAUUGGUCGCAAAAAACAAACGCGCUAACUUUUUGCACCAAUUUUUGGGAGGGAAAUUCAUGUCAGCGACCGAUCAGCGACCGCAUGUGGUCGCUGAUAUUAAAUAAUGACUAGAUUAAAUUCUGGUAGCAGAUAUCGGUCGUUAUUAGUAUUAUCCGCGACCGGACAUGCGAUCACUGAUAGUAUUGGUCGAUGUUAGGCCUUUUUCUUGUAGUGAUACGAAGAGAAUACGAGAAUUGUAAGAGUAGAAUACAAAUAGUCCUUAAUAGACUUUGGUAAUUGGACUUUGUCAUUUACAAUUAGACUUGGAUUAUGUCUAGCCCAAUAAGAUAUUAUGUGAAGCCCAAAGUUAUGUUAAGACAAGCCCAAGAUAUGCCCAAUAAGAAUUAAUGCUAAGGCCUAAACGAAGAAAACAAACCAUGGAUCGAACCGAUGGGUCACCGGAUGGGUAAAACCAUUGGGGAAACCCAUGGGGGUGACCCAUGGAGCAUAUGGGUCGGCUACUUUGCCACCAAGUAAAGUGGUUACUUGGUGGCUAAGCCAUGAAUAAUAAGGAGGUGGAGACAAAGACCAUAUUACCCUCUAUUUGGUUUUCCUAUAUAAGAAAGGCUAAGUUGGUUCAUUAGGUGUUUUACAAACAUUAACCAACAUAUAUUGAGAGAGAGAAAAGUGUGAUAACAAGUAAUCAAGUGAGUUUUAAACAAAACAUACAAGCUUUAUCAAGAACGUGAAGGUAAUAUUACGUAAACCCAAUUCUUUAAUCCUUUUCUAUUUCUUUUCUUAGAGAAGUAUGAACUGGUGGAGCAUGUCUCUUCCAAAGUAAUAAGGAUGGCUAAUAGCGGAUUAAAUCAUUAUAAGUUAUGUAUGAUUAGAAAUCAUAAGCAUUUAAGUAAUUUUACGCGAAGAAAGCUGAUAAGUGUUUAUUUGGUUGUUGAUGGACAAAUUGAAAACCAUCAUAGGGUAUGUGCAUCUUUUUUGGUUAGGAUGUAGAUGAUGAAUCAAUGGAGUUGUUCCAUUUAAUUUGGUGUAGAAAACUCGAGUAACGAAGUUAUAGCAAAAUUUACUGGAUUAGGCGUUAAACGUUGAAAACAUAGAAAUCCUGGAGUAGUAAUUGAAAGUUGUCUUUUAACUCAUAAACCUUGGUUUUAAAUGGCAUAACGUAGGAUAGUGUAUUUAAGAGUCGUAGAUUCAAGAAUCGUCGAAUUUUGACGUAGAACGAAGAAACGAGCUAUGAACGCUCACGAGCGUUAAACGUACGUGUAAUAGAAUGCUAAUUAGUGAAUUCAUUGUUAACGGAUUUAAAAAUUUCUUUUAUCCAGAUGAAAUUGAAGUAUAUGAGAUAUGUAAGAUAAUGGCUUUUGAACGAGCUAAUUCCGACUUAUAAUGACCAAGAUACGAGUCCUGAAAGAAUUGAAUUGGAAAAUUUUAGAAAUUUCUCAAGGGCAAAAAGGGUCAGCGCCAUAGCGCUGCCCAAGCAUAGAACACUCGCGCCGCAGCGCCAGGUCGGGGGAUCGGCCUCUGCAGAGUUUCACCACAGCACCACUCGUAAGCAUGAGUCUCACACCGCAGCGCCGAGAUGGGGGAUCGAGAGUACUGCAAAGUGGCGCCGUAGCGCCAUUGGUGUACUAGAAGUUGGCGUCGCAACGCCAAUUAAGGAAAUAUGUCUGACAAGGGCUUUUGAACCCAAUUAUUACCUAACAACUAUGAGGCAUGUAUAUAUUUAAUAUACAUGAUAAGACUAUUCUUAAAACACAUGAAUAGUGAUGACUUUAGGAAUUUAACGUUGUUUAAUUAGUAAUUAAAUGAAGCGCGUAAAGUUUAAGAAGUUAAACUGUAAUCAAUUACGAUGAUACUUAAUCAAUGAUUAGUGAGUAUUGGUUUAGUAACGUAACAACGUUAAUAAGCCGUGAAGAAGGAUAAUUAACUCGAAACGAGUUGUAUUAAUGAAAUAUUUUCAGUUGAGUUUAGAAGAGAAAGAAGUUAGUAAAAACAAUGUGAUUAGAUUGUUUGGUAACUAAUUUCAAGGUGAUAUGUAAAUAUAUCAUGUAGAUACUGUAAAGACUGAGAACUAUUAAAUAUUUAUUUGAAGACGCUUGAAUGCAAGUUUUCUUAACGCUUGUCUAACCUUCGUGUUAGCCAAGUUCUUUAUGAUUCAUGUUAUGAGAUGCAUGAAUUGUUUUACGAAAGGGUCGAUGCCAGUUUUAACUCGACUUGACUAAUCUUAAGAGUUUGAUUGAUUUAUUUAUAAGUCUUUCAAUAUAGUAUUGAUAACGUUAUCCUAUGCCAAUUGUUUGGUACAGAUUCAAAGGUAAGCCUGAGUAUGAAUAAACAAAUGUAUUUUUCAUCGAUUAUUCAAUGGGCACGUGAGGUUGCCAAAACUUUAACGUAAAUACAUUUAACGGAUGAGUGUUGAUCAACAUAGAGUAUUAUAGGUUUAUCACCUAGAUGUACAUGUAAGAUAUAUUGGACUUACGGACUUAGUGCUGGGUUAUCCUUUUUAUGAAUUGAAAUCAAAGAGACUGUUCAUGGUGUUUUGACCUACUCAGAAUAAGUCACUAUAUGUACUUCGAAUUUUUUUUAUGAGAUGAGGAGUGAUAUUCAAUGUUUUAUAGUACUUCGUAACUACUUGUUCAGUUAUUGAAGAAUAAUCAUAUGAUUCUCGACGUGGUAUUUAUAUAAUAUGUUGUUAGACUUGCUGAGCUAGCUAUGCUCACUUCUUGCUUGAAUUAUAUGAUUACAGCUAAGGCCGAACGAACUGAGGGUUCUAAUAAAGAUAAAGGCAAGGCUAAGAUGGAUACGUAGUUUAUCCUAUAAUAGACUAGUUUAUUUGUAUGAAUUAUACUUAUGAAUAGUGAAGAAUGUAUAUGGUUUCAGAACCUAGGAAAGGAAUUAUUAUUAGUGUAAUAAGAAUGUAGUUAAUACACUCAUUUUGAUGUUGUUUCAAUGGAAUGAAUGUAUAGUCAGUAGUAUCGUGUAGCACCAUCUGUCGGGUUGGAAGAUACCCAGAUUUGGGGGUGUCACGGGUUGGUAUCAAAGCAUUAGGUUAUAAAACUUAAGGGGGGAAGAACCUUAGGCUAAUAACCUCGUUAGUAGAUGUGAAGUAGAAGCGAAUGAACUCUAGUAGAAUGAAUUAAUUAAGUAUUGAGGAAACUCAGUACCGAAAGAUUUAAAAGAUGAAAAUUAACCCUAAAUAAAUUAAAUGUCUUAUACUGUUGUGUAUUAUGUACUAAUCAACAUGUUAUGUGUUAUGGUAGAUGUCCAUCAAUAGCUUUAUGUUAGGGGAUAUGUUGGUCGAUGUGGAUGAGGAGAUGGAGGUAGCAUCAUUUAAUAUGGUGGUACCUGCACUAGAGCCAACACAUCUAGAGGCAAUGAUGGCAUUGUAUCUGGCAGUGCUUGACCGGAACGUGCAACUGCGCACUAUUGUGCAGAACCAGAGGGAGGAGAUUAGUGAUAUCCAUAAAGCUAAGGAAUCUGCAAAAGCAGGUUUUAAGAAAGAGCAUGACGAGAAAGUGCUCAUGAAGGAUAAGGAGACAUAUUUUAAGAGUGAGGUCGAUGACCUUCGUAAAGAACUAGGGGAGAAGGACCAGAAGAUAUCAUAGAUAUCUUACAUCUAUGAGAGUGCUCAUGAGGAUUUCAAGCUGAAAGUUGCUUGUUAUUCUAUUGAGUCGGGACAAACUCGACAUACUAUUAGUCAGGAUAUUAUAUCGAUUAUUGCGAAUGAGAAGCACGAGGAUGCUAUUAUACAUUAUUAGAAGACUGGAGCGGUAAAUAUUUUGUGUAGUGACGUAAAACCUCUAUUGUAUAAUAAAAGGGUACUCUUUUUGUAAAUUCCAACUUUUGUGAAAUUCAAUCGCGGGAUAGGAAUGUGAUAGCUUUGGUUAUGGAAUCAAAUUGUAAAUAGUUUGAAUGAUGAAGAAGCAUAUUAAUAUAUGAGGUGGCUAUUGAAUGUGCUUUUUUAUGGUAUGAGUUAUUGGUGCCGAGCAAUAACUAAGUAAUUAAAUAGUAAUAAUGCAACUUUAUUUAUUUAAUCAGAGAAAUUUCGCUAAGAAGGAGACAACAUAAUCAGGAAGCUGAAUCCCAUAAUGAUAACCAAGGGGGUCAGAACAACCUUAUGCAAGAGUUUGUUAAUUUAUUAACGGCUGCAUUUAACCAAAUUGGGGGUAGAGCACCCGCAGUACCUAGCGUAGCCAGAACGACUACCUUUAAUGAAUUUAAAAACAUAGGUCCGCCGGAGUUCAAGGGAACUACGGACCCAAUAGAGGCCCAAACAUGGGUGAAGGAAAUUGAGAAGGCGUUUGUAAUUAUAAACGUAGGUGAGGCGCAAAAGACUUCUUUUGCGACCUAUAUGAUGAAAGGGGAAGCCCCCUUUUUGGUGGGAGGCUCACUAGGGUGGGGCUAGGAUAGAUGUGGUAACGUGGGAACAGUUCAAGAAAGUUUUCUUCGAGAACUAUUUCCCUAUAAGUAUGCAAGGGAGAAUGGAGAUUAAGUUCUUAGAACUUAAGCAAGGGGACAUGACGAUUCCCCAGUACGCGGCCAAAUUUGAUGAAUUUGCAAGAUUUGUUGUGACAACACCGAAUCCGGGUCCCAAAUCACCGCGGAUCUGGUUCAAUCAUUCUACAACUAUUGCGGAAGAUAUAAACAUAAAUUGUUUAUAUAAUACAUUUACACACUAUUCCCCAAGGUCGAGUAACCUUAACUUAUACACAAUUCAUAAUUUGUCUAACAUAUUACAUCAUUGUCAUACUAUACUAUUACAAUUUAGCUGGACGUAUUAUCCUAAGCUAGACUUGGUCUUGCCUUUCCUGUAUCCGAACAUAUUCGCCUUAUCUGCAAUGUUUAUCAUGAUAUAGCAAGGGUGAGCAAUAAGUUUGCCCAGCAAGUUUAAGUUCAAUAAAUUAAGAAUAUAUCAUGAUUGAAAGAAUGGAACAAAAGUUGGCUACAGUUCUACAAUAUAAUUGUGAACUAGCAUGAACAAAAUUUACACAGCUGAAUGAACAUUGAACAUGAACAUAUAUAUCUAUAUAUAUAUAUAUAUAUAUAUAUAUAUAUAUAUAUAUCUAGACCGAAUGAUAAUGAAGGUGAUCAGCCUUUCAUACCUGAUGAAUACAUGCAGUAUGCACAGAGUGCGAUUUAAUCAUUCUUAGACAUGACAAUCAGAAAUGAUUAACCACAAGUAUAAUUGAAUAAUACAACUCAAAGUUGAGUUAAGAAAAACUUGCCUGAACCGUUGAUUAUCGCUAUGCAAUUUAAUAAGCUUUGUCUGAAGACCUAAUAUUAAUAAUAUUUAUUUCUAAGUUAGAAUAAUAUCAUCACAAUAUUUAAAAUAACCUAAACACAUUAUCACAUAAUCGUAUCUGUCUAUAACACACAUAAGACUUAACCUCAAGUCAAACUUUUACAGUCUGAGUCGAGUCCGACAUAAUUCUAACAUCCCGACGGUCUAGUCGGACAAUUGUCGAGUUUAAGUUCAAUUAAACUUUGCCUAAACACUUAACAAUUAUUUUAGAUAAUUAUAUUAUUAGUCAAAAUAAUUUUCCAUGUCUAAUGAAAAUCAUAACAUAAUAUUAUAAUAUAUUUAUAAUACAUCAACGUAUUUUUAAUACCUUAAAAUCACAUUUAUAUGAUUUUUAAACAUUUAAUUCCAUUAUCCAAUAAUUGCUUUUAAUAUUAAAAUAUUAAUAUUUUUAUGACAAAAUAUCAAAAGUUAUAUUUUAUAACUUAAAAUAUUUUUAUAACACUUCAAUCAUUUUUAUAUGAUUUAUAAAUCAUUAAUUUUAUUUUUCCAUAAUUUAUUUAAUACAUUUAUUAAAUAGACUAAUUAUCAUUAAUAUUGAUUAAUUACUGAAAUUCCUCACAAAAUAUUAAAAGUCACUAAAAAUAACUUCAAAUAUUUUCUUAUACCAUAAUAUAUUUUUUUAUGAUUUUUCAAGUAUUAAAAAUCAUUUUUAAAAAAUUUAUUUAAUAUUAUAAUUAAAUAAAUUAAAUACCAUUAUUAUUCCAAAAAUAUUAAAUAUAUAUGAAAUAUAUUCAGAAUAAUUAAAAACUAAUUUUCAGACUUUAAAAUAAUUUUUAGGAAAUUAUUUUUAUCUAUUUAUUAAUUAAGAUAAUUAAUUUUAGAAAUAAAUUGUCGGUAAAGGGGCAUUGGGCGACAAAACCGUCACUUAUUGUGUUCUUGAGUGUUCUUUAGUGAAUCACAGGUAUGCAUGUCAGUUUACCGGGUAGGGGGGUUUGACCAGCUAUCAAACAUGGAGCUUGAUGUAUCCGAGGUAGAUUGAGUGUUAAGAUUAUAGUACUGAUGUAAUACUACAAUCCUAAACAAAAAAUCAUGGCCAUUCUAUAUCCAAGCAGGAAGAUCUGGUCCCUCAAAGUUCUUGUCAGGCCUAUUCUUCAUUUUCUGGGUUACCCAAAAAUGAAGAACAACCAAGGUACCUAAUUUGCAGCUUUAAAUCAUAGCUAUUUGGACUCGGUUUGUGUGAUCUAGUGGUUCAAAAAGGUAGUAUAGAUGUCAGUGAACAAUUAUAUAUCAUCAGAUCAUAACAACAACAUCACACGUAAUAGAUUUAGGUCGGUCAAAGUACUAGCCAGAAAACGCCCAUUGAAGAUCUAGGUUACCCAGAAUAUCUUUUCGGCGAGUUGGUCAACGUAGGUUUGACCACGAUUAUCUACGAUUCUGUGCAAGAUCUGCUUGUUCUAAACACUUUAGUGUGUAGUUCACAUGCCAUUGUACAACAUAACAACAACACAUUGACCAAACUAUCAAAGAGCAGCAAGAUCGAAGUCCUGCAAAACAUUGUCAAACAAGAUUUGGGUUUCUGGGUUGCCCAGAAACCCGUUCCCGUGACCGGUCAACGCAGUUUGACUGCUCAUAUCUCUCAACCUAUUCAUGAUCUAGCCCUGUUUCUAGUUUCAGAUCAUAGUCCGCAUAACAUAGAACACAUUUAUAACAUAAAACAACAAAAAUCAAAAAUAGAGAAGGAUCUAGGGCCUUUGACAUAUGGAUGUCAGGUCACUUUUUCAACUUUUUCCAGAUUUCAAAAAUUUUCAAAAUUGUGCAUCUAGAUGUUAUGGAUCCAUGAUCCAAUAACCCAGAUCACUAAAAGACAUCUUAUGACACAACUCUAAACAACAACUAACAUCAAAACACAAGAUUUUAAGGAUUUCGAAAUAUAAGUAUUAUACCACUUUGAAGCUUGAUCUUUGAUUCUGAUCUUUAUGAUCUGAUCAUGGCUAGCUAAGGAUCAAUCUAGGGACUGAAUCACUAAUUAAUCUCGUGGGUCUAGAGAGAGAAGGAGUUGGUUGAGAGUUAGAACACAAAUAAACCAAAUAUGUGAACUUUCUCUCUCUUCAAUUAUUUAUAUAAUUGGAUGCAAUAGAUAUGGCCGUGAUAUAUGGCUGAUUUCUGUGAUAUUUUACCACAUGGGUGUAUCUUAGCUAGUCACCAACUACAAAUAGGGAAAUAAUUGCAAGCUAUCUUCAAUAAUGCACAAAGGGUAAUUUGGAUAUUUGGCUUUUAAAUUUAAUGGCUAACUUGUCAUUUGCUACAACCCUUAGGGUUUAACCCUUAUGGUUAAAACCUAAGGUUUUAAAAAUUAAAUCUAGGAUUUCCAAAUUAAGAUAUUAAAAAUGGAAAAUUAAUCUUUCAAAUUUAUGAUUAGUAUUUUCUAAUUAUAUUAAAGUUUACUAAUCAUUUUCAAGCUAGCUAAUUAGGAUUAAUAAUUCCUAAUUAAAAUUAAAAUUACCUAAUUACCUAUUAGGGUUUCAAAUUUACAAAUUAGGGUUUCUAAUAAAUAAGGUUUCUAAUUAUUAGAAUUUCUAAAUAAUCAUUAGGGUUAUCCCUAAUUAGAUUGUAAUUAAUACCCAAAAGCUUUAUACAUAGCAUUUAAAUUCAACAUUAGGAUUUUGAUAAUCCGAAUUAGGGUUUCAAAUUCCCGGGGACUGAAAUUAGGGUUUCCAGAGCCGGUAAUAGGUUUUCUAAUCAAUCGUUUAGGGUUUUCUAACUGAACGUUGACGUUCUUAAUAUAAUAUUAAGGUUUGCCACUGAUAUAUAUUAUCUGGUCAACCCUUGACCCUUAACCACAUACUGUACACAUAAUAUAUCAUAUACAUAGAAUAUAUUCACAUAUACCUUUAAUCCUGAAUAAUUCACCACAAAAAUUUAUAAAUUCAUAAAAUUCCUUCUUGAAAAUGUCGAAUCGAUUCACUUAUUUUCUGUCUAGGUUUAUUAUUUAACUUUUAUUCAAUAAUUUAAGAUUUUAAUAAAUAUCAAAAUUUUUGGGUCGUCACAUUUGCUCUACACCAAGUGGACACUGAGGAGAGGAAGGCUCGUAGGUUUGAGUAGGGACUGAAACCCUGGCUCUAUAGUAGGAUUUAUGUGUUCUAUAGUGCUUUCUACGGGACCAUUCUGGAGAAACCAAUUAUUGGUGAGGGUGGUAGUGAGGCUUUGAGCCAAUACCACGAAGAGAGAAAGAAUAAGGGUAAAGGAGAAGGAGUACCCAAGGUGGAGGGAGCCAGUGGUAGUGGCAGUAUGCCCAAGAGGAAGAGUUUUAACUCCGGGAAUACUGGAGUUUAACAAGGGGAUCCUAAGCAUAGGGUCGAGGCAUGUGGGCAUAUAUCACCCAAUUAUCCUAAUCCUAAGAAGAACCAAGGAUGUAUUGUUUGUGGAUCGAUGGACCACAUGGCAAGAAAUUGCCCAAAGAAGGGGUCACAUGGUAGCAAGGGUACUAGUAGUGGUAAGUUAGCCAUUAUUGGACCAACACCACUGGGUAGACCUAUGGCCCGUACUUUUAAUAUGACUGUCCAAGAUGUGGUUGAAUCAGCGGAUGUAGUAACAGGUAUCAUUCCAGUCAAUAAAAUGAAUGCUUAUGUGCUAUUUGAUUCGAGCGCUACUUGUUCUGUUAUAGCAUAUGAAUUUGCUAAGCGAUUGGGGUUUAUUCCCGGAAAGAUUAGAACUAUCUUUAGAUGUUAAGGUAGCAAACAAGGAGAUAAUUUCCAUUGAACACAUUCAUAAGAAUUUUUUUGUAGAUAGUAGAGGUAAUAGAUUAUCGGUAGAUCUUAUACCGAUAAGGUUGAGAGAAUUUGAAGUAAUUCUCGGUAUGGAUUGGUUAAUGAACCAUAAAGCUAUAAUAAAUUGUCAUAGGAAAAGUGUGAAUCUUUGGAUUUCUAAGAAACCCAAGGUAGUGUUUUACGGUAGUAAAUCACCGGGAUGCUUGUGUUGUCUAACCAUGACACAAGUUAGGAAAAUGUUGAGGAGGGGUUGUAUGAGAUAUCUAUGCCAUGUUGUGAAUACCCAAAGAGUGGGAGCACCGAUAUUAUUUGUAAAGAAAAGGGAUGGAUCAUUACGAUUGUGUAUCGACUAUCAUGAGUGAAUAAGUUAACAAUUAAGAAUAAAUACCCAUUGCCCAUGAUUGAUGAUUUAUUUGAUCAGUUGAAAGGGGCAAAGUAUUUUUCUAAGAUAGACUUAUGUACGGGGUAUCGUCAGUUGAAAGUAAGGAAGGAGGAUGUACCUAAGACGACGUUCAAAACUCGUUAUGGUUAUUACAAGUUUCUUGUUAUGUCAUUUGGGUUGACUAAUGCACCGAAGUUAGACUUUCUGUAGGGGGCCGUCGAGCAAGUCGGUGGCAAAUUGAUAGAUACUCUUGUGAGGUGCUAUGGUUGAAAGUACCAUUAGCGUCAUAGAGUGUUCAAAUAAUAUUUGGACAAUUUUAUCGUAAUGAUCAUUGAUGAUAUUCUAGUCUAUUCUAAGAUGCCAAAAGAUCACGCUCAACAUUUGAAGAUAGUGUAGGAAACACUAUGGAGGGAGAAGAUGGAUGCAGAAUUCACUAAGUGUGAAUUUUGGCUUAAAAGAUGUACAGUUUUUAGGACAUGUUAUUGAUAAAGUAUGUUGGGACUGAGAAGUGAGAAAAUAGUUUUCAAGAACUAAAAACGAAUGUUAAAUGAGGCACCUGUAUUAUCUUUACCAGGUGAUACGGGGAAUUUUGUAGUGUAUCGCGAUGCUUCGCAUAGAUGACUGGGUUGCAUACUCAUGCAGCAUGGCAAAGUCAUUGCGUAUGCGUCACGCUAGUUAAAGGAUUAUGAGAAGGUUUAUCCUACUCAUGGCCUAGAAUUGGCAGCUGUAGUUUUUGCAUUAAGAAUAUGGAGACAUUACUUAUACGGGGAGAAGUGUGAGAUAUACACGGACCAUAAAAGUCUGAGAUAUAUCUUUACACAGAAGGAGUUGAAUAUGAGGUAGGGAAGGUGGUUAGAAUUGAUAAAAGAUUAUGACUGUGAUAUCUUAUAUCAUUUAGGGAAGGCAAGCAUAGUAGCCGACGCGUUAAGUAGGAAGGGUAAGGAAAAGUUAUCAAUGUUAACGACUCAGAAUGAGUUAAUAACGAAGAUGGCGAGAACGGAGUUAGAAGUUAAAUUAAUGAAUGAAGCGGUAGAAAUGUUAUUCACAAUGUAGACUUAAUCCACGAAAAUGGAACGAAUUAAGGAAGUACAACUAAAUAACGAGGAGUGCGAGCGAAUGAAGAAGAAGAUGGAGGAUGAAGAGAAGAUCAAGUAUAAUCUUGUUUUGAAGGAAGAAUUUGAGUUCCAAAUAAUUCCAAGUUAAAAGAAGAGAUAAUAAGAGAGACCCAUAGUUUGAGGUUCCCGAUAUAUCUAGGUAGUACUAAGAUGUAUUAAAACCUUUGGCAGAACUUUUGUGGCCAAACAUGAAGAGAGAGAUAACGGAAUAUAUUAGUAAGUGCUUCACUUAUCAGAAAGUUGAGACUGAACACCAACGACGAGUGGAUUAUUACAAUCGCAAGAGAUUUCAGAGUGGAAAGGGAAGAUACAUUUUGAAGAGAAAAGGGAAGUUAAGUCCAAGGUCUUAGGACGUUUUGAAAUUUUUAGAAGGGUAUGAGAGGUAGCUUAUGAAGUAGCUUUACCUCCAAAGAUUGAACGAAUACAUAAUGUAUUUCACGUGUCAGUAUUGUGUCCUUAUAAACCGGACUACAAGCACAUAAUAGAGUAUAAAUCUAUUCAAGAAGAAAAAGACUUAACGUAUAAAGAACUUCCAAUUCUGAUUGUUGAUAGGAAGGAACAAGUCUUGAUAAAUAAGAUAAUACCUUCAGUAAAGGUAAUUUGGAGAAACCACAAUGUUGAAGAAGCAUCGUGGGGACUCAAAAGAAAAAUGAAGGAAAAUUCUCCUCAUUUAUGUAUGAAAUUGAAGUAAGAUUCUGGGGACAGAAUCCUUAUAAGGGGGAAGGAUGUAACGCCCGAGAAAAUCGGAUCCUUAUAUGAAUUAAAUUUUUAUUUGAUUAUUUGAAUUAAAUGAAUUUAAUUGUUUAUUUAUGUGAGUAAGCUAUUUGAAGGUCGCUUUAUGACCUAGAAUGUGCGGAUGUGGUAAGGAUUCUGGCUAUGUGCUAGGAUUAAUUGUUAUGAAUUUACAAGACGAAAAUGGAAUUUUUUCGAAAAGUUUCCGUAAAAACACUAUUCAUUCAUUUCUGCUCAGAGAUUAAGUUUGAAUUUCUGAGAAACACAUAAUGAUAGAAUACUAAGACGUAAUGGAAUAUCUAAUAAUAUUUUGGUUUUGGAAAACGAUGUUUUCGCCUGCUGUCUUAAAACCUAAGGGUUGGGAAAAGUGAGUUCCGAGAAUUUAAUGGCUACGUAUAAUGAUUAGGGUUAUUAUACGUAAGAAAUACGAGUUUGAUACUAGUUAUUAUACAAGUAUAGCAUGAAUAUUAUUACAACGUAUAAUACGAAUAUCGUACGAACUAUAUACGAAGAGAAUACGAGAAUUGUACGAGUAGAAUACAAAUAAUCCUUAAUGGACUUUGGUAAUUGGACAUUGUCAUUUCCAAUUGGACUUGGAUUAUGUCAAGCCCAAUAAGAUAUUAUAUCAAGCCCAAAGUUAUGUUAAGACAAGCCCAAGAUAGGCCUAAUAAGAAUUAAUGUUAAGGCCCAAACUAAGAAAACAAAUCGCGGAUCAAACUGAUGGGUCACCGGAUGGGUAAAACCAUUGGGGCAACCCAUGGGGUGACCCAUUGAGCAUGUGGGCCGAUCACUUGGCCACCAAGUAAAGUGGUUACUUGGUGGCUAAGCCAUGGAUAGUAAUGAGGUGGACACAAAGACCAUUUUACCCUCCAUUUAGUUUUCCUAUAUAAGAAAGGCUAAGUUGGUUCAUUAUAUGUUUUACAAACAUUGACCAACAUAUAUUGAGAGAGAGAAAAGUGUGAUAACAAGUAAUCAAGUGAGUUCUAAGCAAAACAUACAAGCUUUAUCAAGAACGUAAAGGUAAUAUUACGUAAACCCAAUUCUUUGAUCCUUUUCUAUUUCUUUUCUUAGAGAAGUAUGAACUGGUGGAGCAUGUCUCUUCUAGAGUAAUAAGGAUGGCUAAUAGUGGAUUAAAUCAUUAUAAGUCAUGCAUGAUUAGAAAUCAUAAGUGUUUAAGUAAUUUUACACGAAGAAAGCCGAUAAGCGUUUAUUUGGUUGUUACUGGACAAAUUAAAAACCAUCAUAGGGUAUAUGCAUCUUGUUUUGUUAGGAUGUAGAUGUUGAAUCAAUGCAGCUGUUCCAUUUGAUUUGGCGUAGAAAACUCCAGUAACGAAGUUCUGGCAAAAUUUACGGGAAUAAGCAUUAAACGUUGAAAACGUAUAAAUCCCGGAGUAGUAAUCGAAAGUUGCCAUUUAACUAGGAAACCUUGGUUUUCGAUGGCAUAACGUAGGAUGGAGUAUUUAAGAGUCGUAGACUCAAGAAUCGUCGAAUUCCGACGUAGAACGAAGAAACAAACUAUGAACGCUCACGAGCGUUAAACGAACGUGUAAUAGAAUGUUAAUUAGUGAAUUCAUUGUUAACGGAUUUCAAAAUUUCUUUUGUCUAGAUAAAAUCGAAGUAUAUGAGAUAUGUAAGAUAAUGGCUUUUGGACGAGCCAAUUCCGACCUAUAACGACCAAGUUACGAGUCCGAAAAGAAUUGAAUUGGAAAAUUUUAGAAAUUUCUCAAGGGCAAAAAGGGUCGGCACCACAGCGCCGCCAAAGCACAGAACACCCGCGCCAUAGCGCCGGGUCGGGGGAGUGGCCUAUAGAGAGUCGCGUCGUAGCGCCACUCGUAAGCAUGAGUCCGCAGCGUCGAGACCGGGGAUCGAGUAAUGCAAAGUGGCGCUGCAGCGCCAUUGGUGUACUAGAAGUUGACGCCGCAACGCCAAUUGAGGAAAAAUGUCUCACAAGGGCUUUUGAACCCAAUUGUUACCUAACAACUAUGAGGCAUGUAUAUAUUGAAUAUACAUGAUAAGACUAUUCUUAAAACACAUGAAUAGUGAUGACUUUAGGAAUUUAACGUUGUUUAAUUAGUAAUUAAACGAAGCACGUAAAUUGUAAGAAGUUAAACCGUAAUCAAUUACGAUGAUACUUAACCAAUGGUGAGUGACUGUUAUUUUAGUAACGUAAAAACGUUAAUAAGCUGUGAAGAAGGAUAAUUAACUCGAAACGAGUUCUAUUAAUGAAAUAAUUUCAGUUAAGUUAUAGAAGAGAAAGAAGUUGGUAAAAAUAAUGUGAUUAGAUUUUUUGGUAACUAAUUUCAGUGUACUAUGUGAAUAUAUCAUGUAGAUACUGUAAAGGCUGAGAACUGUUGAAUAUUUAUUUGAAGUCGCUUGAAGGUAAGUUUUCUUAACGCUUGUCUAACCUUCGUGUUAGCCAAGUUCUCUGUGAUUCAUGUUAUGAGAUGAAUGAAUUGUUUUACGAAAGGGUCGAUGCCAGUUUUAACUCGGCUAGACUAAUCUUAAGAGUUUGAUUUAUUUAUUUACAAGUCUUUCGAUAUAGUAUUGAUAACGCUAUCAUAUGCCAACUGUUUGGUACGGAUUCAAAGGUAAUCCUGAGUAUUAAUAAACAAAUGUAUUUUUAUCAAUUAUUCGAUGGGCACGUGAGGUUGCCAAAACUUAAACGUAAAUAUGUUUAACGAAUGAGUGUUGAUCAACAUAGAGUACUAUAGACUGAUCAAAUAGAUGUGCUCGUAAGAUAUAUCGGACUUACGGACUAAGUGUCGGGUUGUCCAUUUUAUGAAUUGAAAUCAAAGAGAAUGUUCAUGGUCUUUUAACCUACUCAAAAUUUCUACUCAAUCUCAACCCCAGAACACACACCGGGAGUAACAAUUCCAACCUCGGAGAUAACCCUGAGGCAUGCAGUUCCAACAUCGGAAAUUCCACCGGAGAAGACUGAUUAAUCUCAGAUAUAACCCCGAGGUAUCCAGUCUCAGUCCCAACACUGGGAGUAGCAGCUACCCACCUUGGUGAUAACCCCAAGGAAUGCAGUUCCGGUGAUAACCCCAGAAAUGCUUGUUUCAAAUGCAUGCGAUCAGCUUCAACCUCGACACUCACACUGAGGCACUCAAUACAAAGCCCGGAGAUAACACCGGGAAGACAUGCACACCUCAGAGAUGACACUGAGGACCUCCAACAUUUGCAGCAGUCCAAUCUCAGGGAUAACCCCGAGCAAUGUCUGCUUUAUCAGCCCAAAUCGGCGAUAACUUCGGUGAGGGGCAAAGUAAUCAUCUCGCCACUUUGAAGCCACAUCACGCUGUCUCAACAUCUCAUACAUACAUUUCUACACAACAAUGUCCUAGAAGAAUCAAGGAAAGCCAAUCCCGAGUGACUAUUGUUCAGGGUAACGGAUAGAAUUUGAAGCUUGAAGACCGGAGGGCACCAUCCCAUCUUCAUGACUUCGUACAACCUCUAAUCCCAUGCCAUUGUACAACUCUCGACAACAGCGGUCCGAAAUAGGUCCUACAUACCUCAGUCGGAUGCCCGGAUUGCAAUUCUGAAAGUUUGAGCGGACAUUGCAGUGCCUACGUACACGUACUGUGAGAUGACGCGACCCGCGAAACCCGGGGCAACCCGAACAACCUCAAGUACACCUGCGGCUGGCCGCAGGUACACCUAUGGCUCCCCCCUCUAUAAAUAGAGGGCUAGGGGUGGCCAUUUUAAGGGGAAAAGGCGAGGAAGCCCUGUAAAAUUUGCUCCGUACUUGCAAUAUACUGAGUGUUUUCUCAUUUUAAACACUUGUGAGCUCACAUAUAGCUACUCUUGUACCGGCGGGAGCCGAGUUUCAUCCACUUUAAAGAUAUAAAAGUCUUCUUUGGCAGCCCACUGUAAGCCUUCUCACACACUUUAAAGCCUUUCUCCUCAUCUUUGCACACAUCAUUCUUCACGUUGAGAGUCGUGUUGCGUCUAUUUGCCCGGACUUCGGUCCGUGGUUUUAUUUUAGUUUGUAUAUGCAUACAUAUAUAUAUAUAUAUGUGUAUAUAUAUAUAUAUAUAGACUGGAGCGUUUACUUCUUUAAUAUAUAUACUUAUAUAUAUCAACUGUUGUCGGACUAUGUUCGAUGAGCCUGAAUUUUUACAUCCGGAGCGUUUAUUGCUUUAAUAUAUAUAUAUAUAUAUAUAUAUAUAUAUGAACUGUGUGUCGAACUCUGUUCGAUGAGCCUGGAUUUUAUAUCCGGUGCGUUUAUUGCUUUUAUAUAUAUAUAUAUAUAUAUAUACAUUUCUGUCAGGCCUGGAGUUUACUUCGUGGCCUUUUACAGCUUUAUUUACAUUUCGUCCUGCCUGGAGUUUACUUCGUGGCAGUUGAUCGCUUUUACAGCUUUAUUUAUAUUUCGUCCCACCUGGAGUUUACUUCGUGGUGGUUGAUCAUGUCUAUAUAUAUAUAUUUACCGCUUUUAUAUAUUUACAUUUCCGAUCCCCCAUGGAGUUGCUUCGUGGUUGUUGAUCAUGUCUGUAUAUAUAUAUAUAUAUAUAUAUAUAUAUAUAUAUACAUAUAUAUAUAUAUAUAUAUAUAUAUAUAUUUCGUCCCACCUGGAGUUUACUUCGUGGUGGUUGAUCGCUUUUACAGCUUUAUUUACGUUUCGUCCUGCCUGGAGUUUACUUCGUGGCAGUUGAUCGCUUUGUACAGCUUUAUUUACAUUUUGUCCCGCCUGGAGUUUCCUUCGUGGCGGUUGACCGUAUUUACAGCUUUAUUUACGUUUUGUCCCGCCUGGAGUUUACUCCGUGGCGGUUGAUAGCUUUUACAGCUUUAUUUAUAUUUCGUCCCGCCUGGAGUUUAUUUCAUGGCGGUUGAUCACUUUUACAGCUUUAUUUACGUUUUGUCCCGCCUGGAGUUUCCUCUGUGGUGGUUGAUAGCUUUUACAGCUUAAUUUACAUUUUUGAUCCCCCAAGGAGGUGCUACGUGGUUGGUGAUCCUGUCGGUAUAUAUAUAUAUAUUUACAGCUUUUAUAUAUAUACCUGAUUACUGCUUUUAUUCAAAUUACAGCAUCAUGUGAGCCUAGGAAUCAUGUGAUCAUAGAUUCAAUCUAUUGGAUCUAGAUUCAGUUCCCUUGAUGGACCUUUUUCAGCUAUAAGUAGCUUCUAAAUUUAUCUGCGGUGUCUGAAUUUUCUCAGAUGGUUUUCAUACCCACGAGGAAGUCUGCAUUAUUUUGUACAUUAUUUUCUUAUAGAUGCUUCGCAUUUCGAAAAAAUAAAAAUAAUCAAGUCGAACAGUUAAUAAAAUGGGAGUGUAAAAGGUCUCAAUUACUAUUGAGCACAAGGGUUUGAAAAACCUCUUUUAUAAACCAUCACUGCCAUAUUUUUGUUAAAAUUGAAUUUUUACAUAAAUUCAAACCCUGUGUAUAUAAGUGCGAACGAGGCCUCGCACUACUUCCAAAUAAACAGCAAAUUGAUCCACACACACACAUAUUUAGAUAACAAUUUCUUGAAAGGUGGUGGUCACCGUGGUAACACGGAUGUCGGGGGGNNNNNNNNNNNNNNNNNNNNNNNNNNNNNNNNNNNNNNNNNNNNNNNNNNNNNNNNNNNNNNNNNNNNNNNNNNNNNNNNNNNNNNNNNNNNNNNNNNNNNNNNNNNNNNNNNNNNNNNNNNNNNNNNNNNNNNNNNNNNNNNNNNNNNNNNNNNNNNNNNNNNNNNNNNNNNNNNNNNNNNNNNNNNNNNNNNNNNNNNNNNNNNNNNNNNNNNNNNNNNNNNNNNNNNNNNNNNNNNNNNNNNNNNNNNNNNNNNNNNNNNNNNNNNNNNNNNNNNNNNNNNNNNNNNNNNNNNNNNNNNNNNNNNNNNNNNNNNNNNNNNNNNNNNNNNNNNNNNNNNNNNNNNNNNNNNNNNNNNNNNNNNNNNNNNNNNNNNNNNNNNNNNNNNNNNNNNNNNNNNNNNNNNNNNNNNNNNNNNNNNNNNNNNNNNNNNNNNNNNNNNNNNNNNNNNNNNNNNNNNNNNNNNNNNNNNNNNNNNNNNNNNNNNNNNNCAGUGUCACAUCACUGGGUCAAUGUGCAAACCUUUUCUCGGUUGUGUUGGUACAACCAUUUAAAAAACCAACUGGCGACUCUUAAUAGUCCAUCGUCGACAUUAUACAUGUCAGACCUUUUUCACUUGUUUUUUCAAACAAAUCUCACUUAAAAUGAGAAUACCAAAGAACAAGUAACGAAAAGGAACAACUAAAAAUCCCGACGUCGACAAUUGCAGCUAAGGCCGAACGAACUGAGGGUUCUAAUAAAGAUAAAGGCAAGGAUAAUAUGGAUACGUAGUUUAUCCUGUAAUAGACUAGUUUAUUUAUAUGAAUUAUACUUAUAAACAGUGAAGAAUGUAUUCGGUUUCAGAACCUGGGAAAGGAAUUAUUAUUAUUGUAAUAAUAAUGUAGUUAAUACACUCAUUUUGAUGUUGUUUCAGUAGUACCGUGUAGCACCAUCUGUCGGGUUUAAAGAUACCCGAAUUUGGGGGUGUCAUAGGAGUAGCGCAGCCGUGCUCAAAAUGUUCUGAAAAUGUGCGCGGCCGUGCCCAAAAUUUUUUGUUGAGACGUUCUUUGGUAAAACGGUCAUAACUCUCGUAUCCAAACUCCAAUUGAGGCUAUUCAAGAUGCUAUAGAAAGCUAAGGAGUAGCUCUAAAACUUUCAUUCCUUGAGAAUUGAAGGAUUUUGGCUAGAUAAAGGCUAAAAUUGGGCUUAAAGUGGUUCCUAUGCAAAUGGCAACUCCAAACUUCGAGGUUCAACGUCCGUUAGUAAAAAUGUCAUAACUUUUUAUCCGGGAAGAGUUACGGGAUGUGCCUCCUAUCAAAUCAAAACUCUCGACAAGAUCUACAAAAUUAUCCAAGUUUAACGCUAAGAACAUGCAUUCAACUUAGCCUUAAAACCCCUGCAAUCUCACAUUCUUCCAUUUUGGUUGCAUAUUAUACUCCAAAAGAUGUCCGGAUUGCUUUUCCUUUCUUCUUCAUGCCAAUGUCGUGUCAUAACUUAUAAAAUAACAUAAAAUUUAUGAAAUGAACAUAAAACAACAAAGAUUAACAAUAAUCUAAGUCUAAUGAGAUCCAAUUUGUAGGUAUAAAACUCCUUCGUCAAAUACCCCCAAACUUGAACCAUUGCUUGUCCCCAAGCAAUACAAACACCAAAACAGAAUGAAUACAACUACUCAUUACAUGAAAUAGCAACUCAAGUACGAUUCAAUAAUGAUAACCUUAAACAGCCUCAAAGAUCCUUAACUCAACUAAAAUGAAUGUUUAAAAUCAAGCAUUAGCUAAACUUGAGAUAUCAUUAAUUCAAUUUAUCUCCAACCCACAAUUGUGUGUGUGUAUCAACAUGUCAAUCUUACUAUAAAUCAACCAAAAUUGAAAAUCAUAUGGCUCAAAGACAGAUAAAUGGAUAUAUACAAAAUUCAUUACCACUCUAUAGACUAGAUACCUCGUAUUUCAAAAAUCUUUUAUUAUAUGCUAUUUUUUUAUUUAUUUUCUAAACUCGACCAGUGAAAUGUCUAGUUUUCUUAGGCUUUUCAAUGCUACCCAAGUAACGAGCUUUCAACCAAUACUCCCAAACCAGUCGGUUUUAGGGUACUAAGUGUUAAGACACCCCUACGGAUCUAAUAACUCGAAUCGCAAAGGCUACAAAACUAAACUAGCCAAUUGAUUAUUGAUACUUAUUUAUUUUGACUUAUGCAAUAUUAAUCUUUAUUAGGCUUUCAAAGUUACCCUUGUAGCGAAAUUUCGACUAAUGACUCCAAAGCCAAAUGGCUUUAGGGCGCUAAGUGUAGAGACACUCCUAAGGGCUUACUUGUUAUGUGACGCCCCCAAAAUAGGUAUACAUCGCCCAUUCUGAAUCGUCAAAUACAUGGUACAGAAUACAAAUACAUGGUACAGAAUACAAAUACAAACUUAAAUAUACUACAUGAGCUGUGAGUUUUAAUAAAAAUAUUGUCUUCUAGACAAUAUUCAAACUCAAAAUAAGUCCUCAAUACAUUUAUAAGCACACUAUUUCACAAAAUAGUGAGGACUACUAAUGCAAACAUCUGGACCGUCAUUCUAUUCCCCGACUAGUCCCAGCUAUAUUCUCAUUUCCUGAAGAGAACAAUGAAAGAAAAGGGUGAGCUCAACUAGCCCUGCAAGAAAUAUUAUGACUAAGAUAAUGCAAAAUAUAUUAUCGUUAGCCUUCAACGGUGUUAAACUGAUAAAAUAUAGUAGGCAUCAAUUUUAACUGCAGCGGAACAAGAAAUCCAUUAGAAGAGUCAAGUAGAACAUGAAAUCUACUAUCUUCUAUGAUUUAAAAAGUUUAUCAACAGUUUUAUCGCUGAGACUCAGCUUAAUAAAUUAUCCACAUCAUCGAAUCACCCCUGCACUACGGCCAAGGAUAUUCAUUAGUAUCACGACCACAAAUUAUACAUGCUCUACGGGCCAAGGAUAUUCGAGUUUUCAUCAAUGGUCAUGAUCAUGCCAACAACUGUCCAUCAAUGCACUACGGGCUAAUGAGGACUUUUACCACAUCAUUUGUAACAUUACGAUCAUGAUUAUACCGAAUAAUCUCUUGUCAUAAUCAUACCAAGUCCAUCCAUGCACUACGGCCAAAGAUGACUUUCAUAACAAUAUAAGCAUGAGGAUGAUGACAAUGAUAUAAGAAUUCAAUUAAAAGAAAAUAAAGGAUAAAUUUUAAAGACUUUAAUAUUUAAUUUAUCCAGAAUUCAAUAAUGUCCAAAUUAUCAACAUGAUACUGUUUUUUGGAGUAAAAUUCAAGAAUAAUAUUGUAUCAAAAAUGAUUUGGACUGAAAAGAAAUCAAUUUUUGUCAUGAAUAGUACCCCGGGAGAAUAGUAACCGAGUGCAUAGUACCCCAUGAAUAGUAACUUCGGGAAUAGUAACCCCGUGAAUAGUACCCCAGCAUGAAAAAGUUAUUUAUCAAGAAUGCUCAGAAUAAUAUUUCUAUGAAAAGAUAUUGGAUGAAGCGCAAAUAUCAAGGAUAUUCUACUAAUUUACCAAAACUUUACCAAAAUGAGUGUAGAAUUCGAAAUCUAAAACGAAAUAAUAUUACUUACAUACUACAAAGUAUUAAAGAAAAUAUUAUUUCAUAUGAAUAUUGAACAAAAAUAACAUCCCUUACCUUAAAAAGAAGAGUAUUCCAACUGGUAUAGCGAUGAUAUUCUUGAAUAAAACUUUCACUGUUUUCUACACUCAAAGCUUUCUAAAACUCGGAAAGAAAUAGCGCAAUAUUAUAGAAGAUGAAUUUUUAGAUCCUGGUCUGAUUUUCAAUUCUAACUAAGCAUCCUAUUUAUAGGAGAAUGGAAAGGAUACUAUUUGAAAAUUAAAAUCACGGACCAAAGAGUUGCAACUCACAGAAAUUUUCUGAUUUCAUAUAAGUUUACUAUGCAAACACUAUGCAGGCACUAUACAAACACUAUGCAUAAUAAAAUAUAAUAUAUUCUAUUUUUCAUAAAAAAAAAUAAAACUAAUAAAACCAAACAUCGCUAUUAAAAAAAUCACCCGUGAAUACAAAUUUUCUCCCUUGACAAAUUUAAUUUUCCAAUAUAUGGGCCCCACAUGUGGGCCCCCACCUAUUAUAUAUAUAUAUAUAUAUAUAUAUAUAUAUAUAUAUAUAUAUAUAUAUACCGAAUAACUUUCUACCGAUUAUUUUAAAAAAUGGGUAAAUGGGGGUCUAAAUAAUACGCCCAUAUUUACAACAAAUACUUCAUAAAAAUCACCUCAAUAUUUUUAACAAUAUUUAUCAUCAUUAUUAUAAUUUACAAUAUUUAACAAUCAGGUCGUUCCUAGGAAAGAGGGGGCUUUUCAAUAAGGAUUUCUCCCUAUUGGCGCGCAAUUAGGUGACCAAACCUCUCCUUGACAGAACUUCUAGACAUCGUCAAUAUUGUAAAUAAUAAUAUUAAUAACUUUGUCGUCUCAAUUAUUGAUUUAAUAAUAUAAAAUAUUAUGCAGAUGAUAUUGUGAUAAUAAUUGAAUCAAUAAUAUGAGAGAUAUGAUGCAGCAAUUACUGUAGCAAUAAUUGAGUAUAACUGAGUGACUUCUCACAUAAGCAUCAAUAAUCAAUACUGUGUGCUACUAUGCAACCACGCGUAUUACUGUACUUUUAACACCGGUUAUUUCAACAGUUAACGGUAAAACUUCCGCCGUUAUUUUUAUAAAAAGAUAUUUUUGU